GUCCACGCUGUAAACGAUGGGUGCUAGUUGUCGGCAGGCAUGCCUGUCGGUGACGCAGCUAACGCAUUAAGCACCCCGCCUGGGAGUACGGCCGCAAGGUUAAACUCAAAGAAUUGACGGGGCCCGCACAAGCGGUGGAGCAUGUGGUUUAAUUCGAAGCAACGCGCAGAACCUUACCCACGUUUGACAUGUCCAGUUUGGUCGCCAGAGAUGGCUUCCUUCAGUUCGGCUGGCUGGAACACAGGUGCUGCAUGGCUGUCGU
Molecule: ribosomal RNA, 262 nt
Filed under: uncultured bacterium
Lineage: Bacteria
Description: partial 16S ribosomal RNA
Rfam family: Bacterial small subunit ribosomal RNA
Source: RNAcentral